Molecule: ribosomal RNA, 450 nt
Filed under: uncultured bacterium
Lineage: Bacteria
Description: partial 16S ribosomal RNA
Rfam family: Bacterial small subunit ribosomal RNA
Source: RNAcentral
CCUACGGGUGGCUGCAGUAAGGAAUAUUGGUCAAUGGAGGAAACUCUGAACCAGCCAUCCCGCGUGAAGGAUGAAGGGGCUCUGCCUUGUAAACUUCUUUUGUCUGGGGCGAAAAAGCUCGAUUUAUCGAGAACUGACGGUACCAGAAGAAUAAGCACCGGCUAACUCCGUGCCAGCAGCCGCGGUACUACGGAGGGUGCAGGCGUUAUCCGGAAUCACUGGGUUUAAGGGGGGCGAGGAAGUCAGAGUAGAACGGCUGUGGCUUAACCAUGGAAUUGCUAUUGAUACUGCAGAGCUUGAAUGAGGUUGAGGUUGGCGGAAUGUGACAUGUAGCGGUGAAAUGCUUAGAUAUGUCAUGGAACACCGAUUGCGAAGGCAGCUGACUGGACCUAGAUUGACGCUGAGGCACGAAAGCGUGGGGAGCGAACAGGAUUAGAUACCCGGGUAGUC